Molecule: ribosomal RNA, 262 nt
Filed under: uncultured Methanobacteria archaeon
Lineage: Archaea; Methanobacteriati; Methanobacteriota; Methanobacteria
Description: partial 16S ribosomal RNA
Rfam family: Archaeal small subunit ribosomal RNA
Source: RNAcentral
UAAGACCGGUSCCAGCCGCCGCGGUAAUACCGGUGGCUMGAGUGGUAGCCGCGUUUAUUGGGCYUAAAGCGUCSGUAGCCGKUCCGAUAAGUYUYUGGUGAAAGCCCACAGYUCAACUGUGGGAAUCGCUGGRGAUAYUWUCGGACUUGAGGCCGGGAGAGGCUGGAGGUACUCCCAGGGUAGGGGUGAAAUCCUAUAAUCCUGGGAGGACCACCUGUGGCGAAGGCGUCCAGCUGGAACGGACCUGACGGUGAGGGACGAA